Molecule: long non-coding RNA, 422 nt
Filed under: Theobroma cacao (cacao)
Lineage: Eukaryota; Viridiplantae; Streptophyta; Magnoliopsida; Malvales; Malvaceae
Description: long non-coding RNA (TCAC_LNC006217)
Source: RNAcentral
AACAUGUUUUCACAUCUGACACACAGCCGUUCCUUGGCGUUGGCUAAGUCUCACUCUCACGUGGUGGCCCGAACGUGAGGUGCACUCAAAUCAUACCUCAGGAGAUACUUCACCCAACAUCUCACCCCGGAGGUAAGUAUAUAAUUGGGUUACCGUACCCCUCUCAUAGGCAGUCCACGGAAACCCCCACCACUGCAGUGAUCGUUUAAUAUACCACCAGACCCAUAAAAAUUCCAGUAGCAUAAUAUGGCGAAUAAAAUGUAAUCCAGUCUACCGAGACCAAUCUAAAACUAUUCAUAUAUUUCAUGCCAACCCCAAAAAUUUAGCCGUCAUGCUACCAUAGUGUCAUAAGCCACAAUUUCAAUAACAUAUAAAAUCAUAAAUUUCAACACAAUCUCCAUAUACUCAAUUUUCUCAAAACA